This 73-nucleotide transfer RNA is filed under the name Stegodyphus mimosarum. It matches the Rfam family "tRNA". From Rfam's summary of the family: Transfer RNA (tRNA) molecules are approximately 80 nucleotides in length. Lineage: Eukaryota; Metazoa; Arthropoda; Arachnida; Araneae; Eresidae. The record is from Rfam by way of RNAcentral.
GCUUUCGUGGUGUAGUGGUCAGCGCGCUCGACGGGUAUUCGACAGGUCCGUGGUUCGAGUCCCGGCGAUGGUA